Molecule: long non-coding RNA, 925 nt
Filed under: Capra hircus (goat)
Lineage: Eukaryota; Metazoa; Chordata; Mammalia; Artiodactyla; Bovidae
Description: lncRNA (ENSCHIG00010006370.1)
Source: RNAcentral
UGACAUCAUCUCAGUUGGCAGCAGUGCCCUGGAAUGUGAUGUUGAGAUAAGUGCCGAGGCCAGAGAGAAAGUUGACCAUGAUUGAUUAGUGAUGUCUGCUACAGUCACUGAAGGGAUAGUAUAGGACAUAGGCACUGAGAAUAGAGGAUUAUAGAAUAUGCUAGUAUUUAACAGGACGGUGCACACAAGAGGGAACUCUGUAAGGCUUCUCUGCAAAAAGAUGCAGCAAUAAUCUACCUGAAAACCAAAAUAGCAAGCAGUAACGGCUAGCCACCAAAAGCUGUCAGACCCACAUGUAACAACCAAUCUGAGAGAGAGCCAUCUGAAAAAGAAGCUGGCAUUUGCAUCACACCCUUUCGAUGUUUUCAUAUUUAUGAUCUCAUUUGAUUUUCAUGACAACUCUGAGGGCGGGAGCCAGCGUUACUGCUACCUGACAAAUGGGGAGGGUGAGGCCAAAGAAGGUCCAGAACUCACUCAAGGUUGCAUAACUAUUCAGGAGAUAGAGUCUUUUCAGGUCCUCAUCCUUCCCUUUGCACACCCCUGACUCACUGACAGCAUCUGCUGUGGCAGCCCAGGACAAAGCUAUAAAUGGCCCAUUGUAUGUGUACUCAGCAGAGAGAUGGCCCUGGGGACACAUUUAUUUGUGUGCCUUUGGGCAGUUACCCAACCAGCCCCAGCACCUUUGAACGUGAAAGGCACCACAGGCUCCAAGCCUUUGUCUAUUCACGUUUUUGGAAUCAUUACUAAAGUAAACUUUGACUUAUCCUCUUAUACAGAGAAUAAAAAUCCUCAGGAAGGUUGUUUCACUUGGCUUUGGUUUCCUCAACUGCAAAAUGAGGCUGGACUUGAUUGGUUCAUCUUCCAGGGUAGCACACAUCAUCACACUUUCAUGAUAAUGGCCAAGGCUUUCANGGAAUCUCAAUGA